UAAAGUUUAUCUUCCCAACAACACUCUCAGGGAAGACUGGUGGAGGAAGAGCCUCUGCUUGUGGUGUUCCUAAGCACUUAGUCACUGCAUGGAGUCUUCCACUUCAGAUUGCUGGGUCCUGUCUGCACAGCUGGUCAUACAGGAAGUAUAUCAUGGUGAUUAAAAGCAACUUUUUGAACAAGAUCAUCUGAGUUCAAAACCCAGCUCUGUCACUUUACUGGCUGUGUGA
Lontra canadensis (Northern American river otter) is the source of this 229-nucleotide long non-coding RNA. RefSeq lists it as uncharacterized. The record is from RefSeq and is a predicted model, not a curated record. The transcript has 3 exons. Lineage: Eukaryota; Metazoa; Chordata; Mammalia; Carnivora; Mustelidae.